UUGCGAUCCUUGUUGGGUCGCCUCGUGCGCCGACCGUCAGGAGCAGCAGCACUCUCCGCGAGGAGGAUCCCAGCUCCAGGAAGAUUGUGAAGCCCUCGAUUCCCUACGCCUCCUCCAGCGCUCCAAACCCACGUCAAGCCGGCUAGAUUCUGGAGGCGCAGAGGAGCGGACAGGGUUUUCUUAGAUUUGUUUUCCUUUUGUUCUUUUGAUCGUGUGAUUGUUUGAUUUUUUUUUCCUCUGUUUGACAGAGUUGUGCGCGGCCGGAGCUUUCAAAUGCGUCACGGCUUCGUAUUAUCGUCUUUCCAUUCAUCCUCUCGUACACAAUGCUCCAUUUGGUCUCCCUGAUCAUGUGAACCAAGCACUCUUAACCACGGUCCUGGGACUUGGAUGGCUAGCUAUCUCUUUGUUGCGGCCAGCAGCCUCGCGAAGCUCUUGACUCAAUCGCCAUCAGAAGUUUCCAAGAGGCUUUGCAUGAAAGUUUUCACUUGCAUGUUUUCUAGCGGGAUUUGUUUUGUCGCGACCAUAAAACACGUCUUUCGCUGCCGAGGCAACCUGAUUUUUGCUCGUUCCUGCGCCUUUACGAGAAUUGGAGGGAACAUCCUUCAAGCAGUAAGACGCUUUGGGGAACAUUUGUCACUUGGGACGAUCACCAGAAGCAUUUCUCGAGUGAGUCACGUCAUUCUUUUCUCUCGUUCGUAAGAAUUGGUCAACAGUGAUAUCUUAUGGCACGUAUGCCUGUAAGAAUCCAGAAGAAGUAAAACCUUUUAACGAGCUCGCAGGAA
This is a long non-coding RNA of Selaginella moellendorffii, 782 nucleotides long. RefSeq lists it as uncharacterized. Lineage: Eukaryota; Viridiplantae; Streptophyta; Lycopodiopsida; Selaginellales; Selaginellaceae. The record is from RefSeq and is a predicted model, not a curated record. The transcript has 3 exons.